This 326-nucleotide ribosomal RNA is filed under the name uncultured eukaryote. Its description in RNAcentral is "partial 18S ribosomal RNA". It matches the Rfam family "Eukaryotic small subunit ribosomal RNA", at positions 1470 to 1796 of the family's 1831-position model. The record is from RNAcentral.
CCCUUAGAUGUUCUGGGCUGCACGCGCGCUACACUGAUGCGCUCAACGAGUUUUAACCUUGCCUGGAAAGGUUGGGUAAUCUUUUUAAAACGCAUCGUGAUGGGGAUAGAUUAUUGCAAUUAUUAAUCUUCAACGAGGAAUUCCUAGUAAGCGCGAGUCAUCAGCUCGUGCUGAUUACGUCCCUGCCCUUUGUACACACCGCCCGUCGCACCUACCGAUUGAAUGGUCCGGUGAAGCCUCGGGAUUGUGGCCAGUUCACUUUAUUGGGAGUUGGCUGCGAGAACUUGUCUAAACCUUAUCAUUUAGAGGAAGGUGAAGUCGUAACA